Molecule: transfer-messenger RNA, 391 nt
Filed under: Lacisediminimonas sp.
Lineage: Bacteria; Pseudomonadati; Pseudomonadota; Betaproteobacteria; Burkholderiales; Oxalobacteraceae
Rfam family: transfer-messenger RNA
About the family: Bacterial tmRNA, also known as 10Sa RNA or SsrA, is named for its dual tRNA and mRNA-like properties. Its role is to liberate the mRNA from a stalled ribosome.
Source: RNAcentral
GGGGGCGACCUGGUUUCGACAGGGGUUGCAAAGCAGCGCAGGGCAUACCGAGGACUGGUUACCUCGUAAAUCCAUCCAGAAGCAGACAACUGCAAACGACUCAAAUCACGCUCCAGAGUUCAAACUCGCUGCGUGACACCCCUAGGCGCUUAAAAACCGCCUAGCUCCGCACCGUCUCUUCCUUGGGGCGGGCUGGCAACAGCAGCGGAGUCAUACACAAGGAAUCGCGCUAACCCGGGUGGCUUGGGAUAGCGUUAAACAAUAGGUCACUCGCCUCACCGCAGCGUGUCCGUCCGCGGCGACCGGGGUUAAAUCAAAUGGCGAGGCUAAGUAUGUAGAACUGUCUGUAGAGUACCUUUGGACGCGGGUUCGAUUCCCGCCGCCUCCACCA